UGAGCCAUAUGAUAGAACUAUAACAUAUAAUUUAGGGUUUUUACAUCAAAAUGUAUACUUUUGCCACACUGAGACUGAGACACGGCCCAGACUCCUACGGGAGGCAGCAGUGGGGAGUUUUCCGCAAUGGGCGAAAGCCUGACGGAG
Molecule: non-coding RNA, 147 nt
Filed under: Helianthus annuus (common sunflower)
Lineage: Eukaryota; Viridiplantae; Streptophyta; Magnoliopsida; Asterales; Asteraceae
Description: sRNA HanXRQr2_Chr06g0243571
Rfam family: Bacterial small subunit ribosomal RNA
Source: Rfam by way of RNAcentral